AUGAAGCCAAAACAGAAGAAAGCAAGAAUAGAACAAAUUGAAGCUCGUCGUCAAUUGGAAUGUAGCACACCAUCCAAAGAUUCAAUUGCAAUGGAGAACCCUAAAUAUGUCGCAACGAAACAGGAGGUUAGCAUUUCUAAAUUUACUGCAAAACACAUUUCUAAAUUUACUGCAAAACACAGGGUGGCUGCAGGAGAAAGGCAAACAUUGCUACACCGUCUCAAUGAAGAAUUCAUGAAAAGACGGAAGCAAACAGUUUCUGAAUCAUCAAAAGAAGAUGCAUCCAUGACAGAAACCUGCGACGAAAACAAUCAACCUCUAGAGCAGCCACAAUUCAUGACUUACGGUAAUAAUCUUCAUUUUAUACUCGCAUUCCAAGUAAAUAUAAAUCUGUCUGCACAACUAACGAUCUAUUCUGAACAGACAUUCCCUCAAUGUUUCCAAGCAUCAGAGAAACAGAUGCAUCAAGACAAUCAUUAUACAAUGAUAAUCACAGUAAAGUGGAUUUGUGGCCAGACAUCCCCUCCAGAAUGCUUCCAACAAUCAAAGAAGUGCAUGCACGAAUACAAUCAAUCUACAAUGAUGAUCAUGGUAAAUUUAUAUAUUACAUAUAAAUACUUUUAUAUACAAACAUUUAAUAUACAUAACAAUAAAAAAAUAUUACACAGGUAA
This 672-nucleotide ribosomal RNA is filed under the name Triticum aestivum (bread wheat). RNAcentral describes it as "partial small subunit ribosomal RNA". Lineage: Eukaryota; Viridiplantae; Streptophyta; Magnoliopsida; Poales; Poaceae. The record is from RNAcentral.